UACACAUUGAUCGAUGUCUGGAGCUCACGCUCUCCUGCGCUUUUCGACAAAUCCUUUUCUCGCUCUACAAGGUUUCGGUCGGCGCACACGAUGCACACACUUUGCUCGUUUUCUCUUUUUCCCCUUCGGAAUUGUGCUUAUGAAGCAUUAGAAGUAAAUAAGCAUAUGCAUUUAUGCAAAUUGCAGAGUAGCAUGAGAUAAUGAAAACAAAGCUGCGCUGGCUCUCUGCCAAGCAGUGGCACUCGGGGAGCCUCAGGCAGAUCUGUGCCUCCUGAUUCAUCGGUGGAAGCAGCUGAAGAGAAAGCGAGGACAGGCGCCCUGACAUUCCUGUGCCCAUCGCUUACCAGAUGCAGACAGGCAUAGUCUGAGCGACACUUCCAUUGGAAUAUCGGCAUUCCCAGGAGCCUGCGGUCCUGACACAUUCGCCUCACUUUAAUUCCACGGCUUCUUCAUAAUUCCCUCCUCGGAAUUUACAAACAUUUCCCUCAGAUCAAUAGCUGUAUUGAUUAUUCAUUGUGAGCGAGUUCUGUUUCUCUGGCCAUACAGCUUUGGCACAGUGUGAGCUACUGCAGAACAGGAAGUAGGGGGGGAUUGAGCUGCUGUACAGGGUGAAGCCAAGACAGCAAAAAGGAGAGAACGAAAGCAGAAAUCAGAAAGAGAAAUACACAAAAAGGAGCUGAUAUAGAAAUGCCACCAGCAACCAAUCUGUGGCAGAAAUCAUGCAGAACUUUGGUCACCCUCCAUCAUUGGUUGCCACCUUGAUGUGACUGACUGAAUGUAUCUGGACAGCCCAGGACAAUAUGAUCCUACGUAAGAGUGUGAGGGGAAUCCUUGGCUCCAAGCAUGGAAGCAUGGAAGAAUCUAAUGAGGCAAGCAAUGGGCUUUUAUAGACCAAAACCUUUGGUAUAACAAAACCACCUGGUAUAACAAGAAGGAAACUUAUAGGAAUGGCCAUUGUUCCUAGGAAAGAUGAAAGAAGCUAGCUUUCUUGCUUCAAGGAUGUUGUUAUUAACUGGUGGCAGAAAGUACCUACAGAGGAGAUCAGCUAGCUAAUAUGGAGUUAGCUAAUUACGUUCAUGAACGAGAUCACCAAAAUAUUUCGUAAAGGAAAGGACUGGAUAUGUUUUGGACAUGAGCCAGACACAGCAAAACAAAGAUAUAAAAUCUCAUAGUAUGCACCCAGUAUAACGUGGAAGCAGUUGCUAGAAUGUCCUUAGUCACUGGAUAUAAAUAAGGUACACAAGCACAGAAAAAAAAAGGCACCAAAGACUGGUGUGACAAAGUGGUUAUUUAUAUGUUAUGGUGGCCACGAUGGAUCAAAGGACUCCUCAGAAUACAAUGUUCUUUUCUAAGUGGUCAUCCAGAAAAUUACAAGAGAUCUACAGAUGACACACAGUGCUGCCCAGGCUCAAAUGUAUAAGCUGAGGCUCUGCAAGAAGAUGUGCUCACUUGAUGUGCUCCAGCCAUGUCUCGUGACAUCAGUAACGUGUUCUCAAGAGGACCUCUUAUUCUUUGGAAACAGAAAGAAAGGUGCUCCUUUAUUAGUCAUAGAAGACAAAGACAAAGAUGCCAUGCAAGUCUGAGCCCUUCAAGAGUUUUUCGUACCCUGAAUCUAUUCUUUCCUUUACUCCUAAUCCCUUUGCUUGGCUUUGACUAGUAACCUCACGAAAACUUCUCUCAAGAGCAACCAAUUGAGCUCUGCUCUCCAAUUGCCUCAGAGCCCAGUGGAUAUUCCUUCAGAUGUCUAACAAGCAACUAACACAACUGAGGUUUAAAGAGACACAGAAAUCAAUACUGCAGCUUCCACUGGUCACGCUGAGGGAUUAGCCAUCCCAGGAAAGCCACAAGCAGCUGAAUAACAGAAUCAUGACUCAGAAUACCCUCAGAGGUUUAAUAAAACCAAAAACCAGUUUUUGACCAUUCAAACCUUUAACAGUCCUGUAGAAACAAAAAGCAUACAAUUUAACUUUUUUUGUAAGUAGUGCUGAUAUAAAGAGCUGCACUCAGUAUAUAUAACAUUCACACAACACAACUUCCAUCCCCAUAAAGAAAACAACUGCAUUGCACUAUGCUAUGAAUAUGGCAUUUUUUAUACUGUUAAAUGAUGCAGUGCGGCAUAUAGUAUUUUUAUGCUUUAUAUGGCACCAGUAAACGCUGGAGAUAGAUAUUUUAUCUAUUUAGGAAUGUAUGACCAAAUAUCUCAACCACCACCCUAUGUUUGAUCUGAGCUCCUCUUCAGAGCCAGCUGUAUCCCAUAGGCCUGAGCAGCUUAAACAGCCAAAGCAUGAGAGUGAGAUCUAAGGCAACUGCUACAUAUAUGAUUUAGGGGCAUUUUGAUGGCUGCAUUUUUUUAGCUCAGUAUGUGGUAUCAAGUAUCCCAAAUCCAUUUCAUUUGCCUUUUGUGGCGGUCUAUGGGAAUUUAGAAAGAAACGCUAGUGUGGACAAUUUCUAUAUGACUAUCAUGAUUUAGAGCAGAUUUGGUUUGAAAAUUGUGUCAUUCCUACCUAUAGAAAUAAUAACAGUUUUAGUUGCUUUUGGGUUAAUAAAUAUUUAAAUAUAUCGCAA
Xenopus tropicalis (tropical clawed frog) is the source of this 2565-nucleotide long non-coding RNA. RefSeq lists it as uncharacterized. Lineage: Eukaryota; Metazoa; Chordata; Amphibia; Anura; Pipidae. The transcript is spliced from 2 exons. The record is from RefSeq and is a predicted model, not a curated record.